GGGCUGCCCUGCUGCUCACCGGUCCACCCAUCUGCCUGGUCUUCUGGAGCUGAGGACUCGGGAAACCAUGCAAUUGAGGCAAGCCUUGGGCUGCUUUAGAGGCGCUGACAUCCGAGGAGACUUCUCCUGGGAUUGAAGGAGCAAUGUUUGGAGGAAGCGAAAGAAAGGAGAGGACACAGAGCACAGAGCAGCCAGGCAGAGCCAGGAGCUGAGAAGGGCCCAGACCUGAGGCCUCCCAACAACUCUCUUCUUGGAAGGAUCUGGGAUGUUGCUGAAGGAAAAUAAAAAAAUAUGUAAAAAGAUAACCUUUUGUUUUUCCCUCUCCAGGAAAUAGCCAAAGAGGUCCAACAGCCGAGCUUAGCCCACCGGGCUCUGGGAAAGACCCGACUGAGGCUAAAGCCGCCCCGGAAGGCCAAGUCCGAGUUCCAUUUCUUGAAGAGGCCGGCGCGCGUAAGGCUGUGACAUUGGCCCUGGCGACUGGCUUCCCAGGAGCUGUUCUUUCUCAGGAGCUCCACAGCGCGGGCCAUCUCCAGAAAACUGUCUUCAGAGUGUAUUUCCUUUUAUCGUCAACCCAGAGCCCCACCGCGGCUAAUGCAAGAGGCCAAAAAAUGUUUGGAGGAAGAAAAACAAAGGCAGGAAGUGGCGGCGGCCUGACGGUGCGUGUGUGUCUGCAGAGAAGGGAGGGAGCCGGCUCAGUCUCUUCUUGUUUUUCCAAACUUCAAGGUCCAGGCAGCCCUCUGCAGGGCCGGGCCCCAUUGCUCCCCGCGCGGCAUUGGAGGUGGCCGCCCGGAGAGGAGAAGGCCAACGCCUGCGCCAGGCUUG
Long non-coding RNA from Homo sapiens (human), 822 nucleotides. Ensembl annotates it as HOXA11 antisense RNA. Its record names the gene HOXA11-AS. The record is from Ensembl. NCBI's taxonomy places the organism in Eukaryota, Metazoa, Chordata, Mammalia, Primates, Hominidae.